UGGGAAGGGGCCCAGUGGUAGAGCGCUUGCCUUGCAUGCCUGAGGCCCUGGGUUCGAUUCCCAGCACCACAU
This 72-nucleotide transfer RNA is filed under the name Dipodomys ordii (Ord's kangaroo rat). It matches the Rfam family "tRNA". Rfam says of the family: Transfer RNA (tRNA) molecules are approximately 80 nucleotides in length. Lineage: Eukaryota; Metazoa; Chordata; Mammalia; Rodentia; Heteromyidae. The record is from Rfam by way of RNAcentral.